Molecule: ribosomal RNA, 1329 nt
Filed under: uncultured archaeon
Lineage: Archaea
Description: bacterial SSU rRNA
Rfam family: Archaeal small subunit ribosomal RNA
Source: RNAcentral
UGGUUCACCCACAUGCCGAACGGCUCAGUAACACGUAGUUAAUCUACCCUCAGGUUGGGGAUAACCCCGGGAAACUGGGAUUAAUCCCCAAUAGGAAAUAGGUACUGGAAUGUCCUAUUUCCGAAAGCUCCGGCGCCUGAGGAUGAGACUGCGGUGGAUUAGGCUGUUGUUGGUGUAACGGACCAACAAACCUAUAAUCCAUACGGGCGUUGAGAGACGGAGCCCGGAGACGUGUUCUGAGACAAGAACACGGGCCCUACGGGGCGCAGCAGUCGCGAAACCUUUACAAUGCCUUCACGGGCGAUAAGGGGAUCCUGAGUGCUCUAGCAUUGCUAGAGCUUUUCCAGAGUGUAAAAAGCUCUGGGAAUAAGUGGUGGGUAAGACGGGUGCCAGCCGCCGCGGUAAUACCCGCGCCACGAGUGGUGACCACGUUUAUUGGGUCUAGAGCGUUCGUAGCCGGCCUAACAAAUUCUCGGUGAAAUCCUGUGUAAAACACAGGAAGUGCCGGGAAGACUGUUAGGCUAGGGACCGGGAGAGGCUGAAGGUACUCCAGGGGUAGGGGUUAAAUCCUGUAAUCCCUGGAGGACCACCGGUGGCGAAAGCGUUCAGCUGGAACGGCUCCGACGGUGAGGGACGAAAGCCAGGGGAGCGAACGGGAUUAGAUAAAGCCUUUCUUUUCGAAAAAGAAAGCCUUUAGGGAAAGAAAANAAAANUCUUUUCUUUUGAACCCAAGGGCCUUUUCUUUUGAAAAAGAAAAGGGGCUUCUAGAUACCCCGGUAGUCCUGGCCGUAAACGAUGCCCGCUUGGUGUAUCAUCUCCUUCGAGGAGGUGAUGUGCCGUAGCGUAGGUGUUAAGCGGGCCACCUGGGGAGUACGGUCGCAAGGCUGAAACUUAAGGGAAUUGGCGGGGGAGCACCUCAAGGGGUGGAGGCUGCGGUUCAAUUGGAUUCAACGCCAGACAUCUCACCAGGGGCGACAGCAGUAUGACGGUCACUCUGAAGGGGUUACCUGACGCGCUGAGAGGAGUUGCAUGGCCAUCGUCAGCUCGUGCCGUGAGGCGUGCGCUUAAGUGCGUCAACGAGCGAGACCCACGCCCUUAGUUGCUACGCUAUUCUUCGGAGUAGCGGCACUCUAAGGGGACCGCUGGCGAUAAGCCAGAGGAAGGAGUGGGCGACGGUAGGUCAGUAUGGCCCGAAUCCCCUGGGCUACACGCGGCCUACAAUGGCUAGGACAAUAGGUUGCAACACCGAAAGGUGGAGCUAAUCCCUGAAACCUAGCCUUAGUUCGGAUCGAGGGCUGAAACUCGCCCUCGUGAAGCCGGAAUCCCUAG